Molecule: long non-coding RNA, 378 nt
Organism: Oreochromis aureus
Lineage: Eukaryota; Metazoa; Chordata; Actinopteri; Cichliformes; Cichlidae
Exons: 3
Source: RefSeq, a predicted model, not a curated record
CAUCCACCUACUGGUGAUCUUUGUGUCUUGGUUAGUUAUGUUCAGUAAAUAAUUUUACAUUUAAGUAAAAUUCUUGUGUCACAGACUCCCUGCUUGUCGCCUACUUUGAGCGAGUUUGCGACACAUGGCCAAACCCUGAAUGAUCAAAAGGCUCGGCUCCUUCUCACUUAUAUUCGGCCACAAUACCGCACAUGUCCUUUUCUCUCUGCUUGGCUCUGAUGGUGGCCAGUCUGCUGGAAAUAACCCUCAUCACCAACCUGCUGUGUGAGUCUGCCGACUUCUCUCCUGUCCCUCGUUGGAUCUCUGUCCUUAUUCUGCAGUUUCUGGGAUUUCUUGUUUGUACGACACAAAUGAAUAAGAAACCACGAGCUUCAGGUA